Molecule: ribosomal RNA, 687 nt
Filed under: fungal sp. genotype 690 JMUR-2016
Lineage: Eukaryota; Fungi
Description: eukaryotic LSU rRNA
Rfam family: Eukaryotic large subunit ribosomal RNA (bases 184-687)
Source: RNAcentral
AGUAGGCAUGCCUGUUCGAGCGUCAUUUCAACCCUUAAGCCUAGCUUAGUGUUGGGAGUCUACGGUAAAACGUAGUUCCUCAAAGACGUUGGCAGAGCUCGGUCGAUCUCUCAGCGUAGUAAUUUUCUCUCGUUGUGGAAGACGGUCGGGCGAUCGCCAGGAAACCUUUAUUCUUUUAAUGGUUGACCUCGGAUCAGGUAGGAAUACCCGCUGAACUUAAGCAUAUCAAUAAGCGGAGGAAAAGAAACCAACAGGGAUUGCCUCAGUAACGGCGAGUGAAGCGGCAACAGCUCAAAUUUGAAAUCUGGCCUAGCCCGAAUUGUAAUUUGCAGAGGAUGCUUUUGGUGAGGUGCCUUCCGAGUUCCCUGGAACGGGACGCCAUAGAGGGUGAGAGCCCCGUACGGUUGGAUGCCGAGCCUCUGUAAAGCUCCUUCGACGAGUCGAGUAGUUUGGGAAUGCUGCUCUAAAUGGGAGGUAAAUUUCUUCUAAAGCUAAAUACCGGCCAGAGACCGAUAGCGCACAAGUAGAGUGAUCGAAAGAUGAAAAGCACUUUGAAAAGAGGGUUAAAUAGCACGUGAAAUUGUUGAAAGGGAAGCGUUUAUGACCAGACAUUACCCGGUAAGGAUUACCCUCCGGGUGAGGCCAACAUCGAUUUUCCCAGGGGGACAAAGGUUGAGGGAACGUAGC